RNAcentral lists this long non-coding RNA (518 nucleotides) under Vigna radiata. RNAcentral describes it as "long non-coding RNA (VRAD_LNC004956)". Lineage: Eukaryota; Viridiplantae; Streptophyta; Magnoliopsida; Fabales; Fabaceae. The record is from RNAcentral.
GGUGAAUGGAGUGUUUCUGCGCCUCUUUCUGUCAAAAGAUUCCCUCUUUGGGUCGUCCAAAUCCUUAUAUAGUUCAUAAAAAUUAGUAGAAAACAGGCCCAAGCCCACGUCGUUGGCGCUCAAUGCCCCAAAAGGGCACCCAGUGGUAUGUGCGACACUUAAAUGGCGCUCAACAGUAGCGCUCAAACGCGAGACAGGAGAAACUGGCACUCAGCGGUAGCGCUCAAGUGCGAGGCAGAAGAACUUGACACUCAGUGGUGACGCCUAAGCGCGAGACAAAAGAAAUUCGCGCUGAGUGACCUAAAAGCUCCCCUGAACCAUUCAUUUCUAGAGUACCUGAAUGUCAACCAGGUGUAGAUAAAUCUAUGAAAAUUCAAACUUCUUAUGAACAAGUCACACCUUAACCUCCCCUGGCACCUAACUCAACCCCAAAGCUCUCCCUAAAAAUAUCAUCAUUCUAUCCCCCAAAUUUCCAGCCUACACCACAUCAACCCUUCAACUAUUCACUUUUAAACAUU